This 592-nucleotide ribosomal RNA is filed under the name Haemophilus haemolyticus. Its description in RNAcentral is "partial 23S ribosomal RNA". It matches the Rfam family "Bacterial large subunit ribosomal RNA", at positions 2347 to 2925 of the family's 2925-position model. Lineage: Bacteria; Pseudomonadati; Pseudomonadota; Gammaproteobacteria; Pasteurellales; Pasteurellaceae. The record is from RNAcentral.
UAGUGCAAUGGUAUAAGCAAGCUUAACUGCGAGACAGACAAGUCGAGCAGGUACGAAAGUAGGUCAUAGUGAUCCGGUGGUUCUGAAUGGAAGGGCCAUCGCUCAACGGAUAAAAGGUACUCCGGGGAUAACAGGCUGAUACCGCCCAAGAGUUCAUAUCGACGGCGGUGUUUGGCACCUCGAUGUCGGCUCAUCACAUCCUGGGGCUGAAGUAGGUCCCAAGGGUAUGGCUGUUCGCCAUUUAAAGUGGUACGCGAGCUGGGUUUAGAACGUCGUGAGACAGUUCGGUCCCUAUCUGCCGUGGGCGUUGGAGAAUUGGUUGGGGCUGCUCCUAGUACGAGAGGACCGGAGUGGACGCACCACUGGUGUUCCGGUUGUGUCGCCAGACGCAUUGCCGGGUAGCUAAGUGCGGAAGAGAUAAGUGCUGAAAGCAUCUAAGCACGAAACUUGCCAAGAGAUGAGUUCUCCCAAUCUUAGAGAUUGUAAGGGUUGUUUAAGACUAAGACGUAGAUAGGUGCGGUGUGUAAGUGAUGUGAGUCAUUGAGCUAACGCAUACUAAUUGCCCGAGAGGCUUAACUAUACAACGCUCAAG